AGCUGCUGCCAUGGAGCCAGCCGGGCUAGAGCGGCUCCUACGGGAGCUGCUGCUACCGGACACCGAGCGCAUCCGUCGGGUACGGAGCAGGCGUAACCCGGCCAGGGCGAGCGGGAGGUUGCGGGAAAGGCCCGACUCUCACCCCUAGCUUCCCCCCAGGCCACGGAACAGCUCCAGAUCGUUCUUCGGGCCCCCGCCGCUUUGCCGGCUCUCUGCGACCUGCUAGCCUCGGCGGCCGACCCCCAGAUCCGCCAGUUUGCGGCCGUGCUGACCCGCAGACGACUGAACACCCGCUGGCGACGGCUGGCGGCGGAGCAACGGGAGAGCCUCAAGUCCCUGAUCCUGACGGCCCUGCAGAGAGAAACAGAGCACUGUGUGAGCCUCAGCCUGGCCCAGCUCUCAGCCACCAUUUUUCGAAAGGAAGGCCUGGAGGCCUGGCCACAGCUUUUGCAGCUGCUUCAGCACAGUACCCACAGCCCCCACAGCCCAGAGAGAGAGAUGGGGCUUUUGCUGCUAAGUGUGGUGGUGACCUCCCGGCCCGAGGCCUUCCAACCCCACCACCGGGAGCUUCUUCGGCUUCUGAAUGAGACUCUUGGUGAGGUGGGCUCUCCUGGGCUGCUCUUCUACUCCCUGCGCACUCUGACCACCAUGGCUCCCUACCUCAGCACUGAAGAUGUGCCUCUCGCUCGGAUGUUGGUGCCCAAGCUGAUCAUGGCCGUGCAGACUCUGAUCCCCAUAGAUGAGGCAAAGGCCUGUGAGGCCCUUGAGGCUUUGGAUGAACUGUUGGAGUCAGAGGUGCCGGUCAUCACCCCCUACCUCUCUGAAGUCCUCACAUUCUGCCUGGAGGUGGCUAGAAAUGUGGCCCUGGGCAAUGCGGUACGCGUACGUAUUCUCUGCUGCCUCGCUUUCUUGGUCAAAGUCAAGAGCAAGGCCUUACUGAAGAAUCGUCUCCUGCCACCCUUGCUGCACACCCUUUUCCCCAUUAUGGCUGCUGAGCCCCCACCAGGCCAGUUGGAUCCCGAGGACCAGGAUUCAGAAGAGGAAGAGUUGGAGAUUGAGCUGAUGGGGGAGACUCCCAAGCAUUUCGCUGUACAAGUUGUGGACAUGCUGGCACUACACCUGCCCCCCGAGAAGCUCUGUCCCCAGCUGAUGCCCAUGUUGGAAGAGGCUUUGCGGAGCGAGAGCCCAUACCAGCGCAAAGCUGGACUCCUGGUGCUGGCCGUGCUGUCUGAUGGAGCUGGAAACCACAUCAGGCAGAGACUGCUGCCCCCACUGCUGCAGAUUGUGUGCAAGGGCCUGGAGGACCCCUCGCAAGUUGUACGCAAUGCUGCGCUGUUUGCCCUGGGCCAGUUCUCAGAAAACCUACAGCCCCAUAUCAGCAGCUAUUCAAGGGAGGUGAUGCCACUGCUCCUCGCCUACUUGAAGUCGGUGCCUCUUGGACACACACACCACCUAGCCAAGGCCUGCUAUGCCCUGGAGAAUUUUGUGGAGAACCUAGCUACGGCUGCCCAGGCCUCACUGCUGCCCUACUUCCCUGCCAUCAUGGAGCACCUGCGGGAAUUCCUGUUAACAGGCCGUGAGGACCUUCAGCCUGUGCAGAUCCAGAGCCUGGAGACACUGGGGGUGCUGGCACGAGCAGUCGGGGAGCCCAUGAGGCCGCUGGCUGAGGAAUGCUGCCAGCUGGGUCUGGGCCUCUGCGACCAGGUAGACGACCCUGACUUGCGGCGCUGCACGUACAGCCUAUUUGCAGCCUUAUCGGGUCUGAUGGGUGAGGGCCUGGCGCCCCACUUGGAACAGAUCACCACGCUCAUGCUGCUGUCACUGCGUUCCACCGAGGGCAUUGUGCCUCAGUAUGACGGGAGCAGCUCCUUCCUUCUGUUUGACGAUGAGAGUGAUGGGGAAGAAGAGGAGGAGCUCAUGGAUGAGGAUGUGGAAGAAGAGGAUGACUCAGAGAUCUCAGGGUACAGCGUGGAGAAUGCCUUCUUCGAUGAGAAGGAAGACACCUGUGCUGCCGUGGGGGAGAUCUCUGUGAACACCAGGUGAGCAUUCGCCCUUCCCUGGCACUGAAAACCCUGCCUGGGGGCCCCUUACACACGGCUGUGUCUCUCUCUGUAGUGUGGCCUUCCUUCCAUACAUGGAAAGUGUCUUUGAAGAAGUAUUUAAACUGCUGGAGGUGAGCGGGCCGGCGGGUGGAGUGGGUGGGGUUCUCAGGCUGGGGGCCCUGUGUUCACGGUGCACAUAGCAGACAUAUCCCGCCCCUCCUCAUCCUGCAGUGCCCUCACCUGAAUGUGCGGAAGGCAGCCCAUGAGGCUCUGGGUCAGUUUUGCUGUGCACUGCACAAGGCCUGUCAAAGCUGCCCCUCGGAACCCAACACUGCUGGUGAGGAGAGGCUGGGCCAGGCUGGGGGUUCUUGGGGAGGGGCAGGGCCUGACUGGUGCUUCAGCCAAUAAUGUCCCCAGCUUUGCAGGCUGCCCUGGCCCGAGUGGUGCCAUCCUACAUGCAGGCAGUGAACAGGGAGCGGGAACGCCAGGUGGUGAUGGCCGUGCUGGAGGCCCUGACAGGGGUGCUCCGCAGCUGUGGGACCCUCACACUGAAGCCCCCUGGGCGCCUCGCUGAGCUCUGUGGCGUGCUCAAGGCUGUGCUGCAGAGGAAGACAGCCUGUCAGGAUACUGACGAGGAGGAGGAAGAGGAAGAUGAUGAUCAGGCUGAAUACGACACCAUGUUGCUGGAGCACGCUGGAGAGGCCAUCCCUGCCCUGGCAGCCGCGGCUGGGGGAGACUCCUUUGCCCCAUUCUUUGCUGGUUUCCUGCCAUUAUUGGUGUGCAAGACAAAACAGGGCUGCACAGUGGCAGAGAAGUCCUUUGCAGUGGGGACCUUGGCAGAGACUAUUCAGGGCCUGGGUGCUGCCUCAGCCCAGUUUGUGUCUCGGCUGCUCCCUGUGCUGUUGAGCACCGCCCGAGAGGCAGACCCCGAGGUGCGAAGCAAUGCCAUCUUUGGGAUGGGCGUGCUGGCAGAGCAUGGGGGCCACCCUGCCCAGGAACACUUCCCCAAGCUGCUGGGGCUCCUUUUUCCCCUCCUGGCGCGGGAGCGACAUGAUCGUGUCCGUGACAACAUCUGUGGGGCACUUGCCCGCCUGUUGAUGGCCAGUCCCACCAGGAAACCAGAGCCCCAGGUGCUGGCUGCCCUACUGCAUGCCCUGCCACUGAAGGAGGACUUGGAGGAGUGGGUCACCAUUGGGCGCCUCUUCAGCUUCCUGUACCAGAGCAGCCCUGACCAGGUUAUAGAUGUGGCUCCCGAGCUUCUGCGUAUCUGCAGCCUCAUUCUGGCUGACAACAAGAUCCCACCAGACACCAAGGCCGCACUGUUGCUGCUCCUGACGUUCCUGGCCAAACAGCACACCGACAGCUUUCAAGCAGCUCUGGGCUCACUGCCUGUUGACAAGGCUCAGGAGCUCCAGGCUGUACUGGGCCUCUCCUAG
RNAcentral lists this small RNA (3478 nucleotides) under Pan troglodytes (chimpanzee). RNAcentral describes it as "retained intron". The record is from RNAcentral. Lineage: Eukaryota; Metazoa; Chordata; Mammalia; Primates; Hominidae.